This 486-nucleotide ribosomal RNA is filed under the name uncultured bacterium. Its description in RNAcentral is "partial 16S ribosomal RNA". It matches the Rfam family "Bacterial small subunit ribosomal RNA", at positions 30 to 507 of the family's 1533-position model. The record is from RNAcentral.
AUUGAACGCUGGCGGCAUGCCUUACACAUGCAAGUCGAACGGCAGCACGGGUGCUUGCACCUGGUGGCGAGUGGCGAACGGGUGAGUAAUACAUCGGAACAUGUCCUGUAGUGGGGGAUAGCCCGGCGAAAGCCGGAUUAAUACCGCAUACGAUCUGCGGAUGAAAGCGGGGGACCUUCGGGCCUCGCGCUAUAGGGUUGGCCGAUGGCUGAUUAGCUAGUUGGUGGGGUAAAGGCCUACCAAGGCGACGAUCAGUAGCUGGUCUGAGAGGACGACCAGCCACACUGGGACUGAGACACGGCCCAGACUCCUACGGGAGGCAGCAGUGGGGAAUUUUGGACAAUGGGCGAAAGCCUGAUCCAGCAAUGCCGCGUGUGUGAAGAAGGCCUUCGGGUUGUAAAGCACUUUUGUCCGGAAAGAAAUCCUUGGCCCUAAUACGGUCGGGGGAUGACGGUACCGGAAGAAUAAGCACCGGCUAACUACGUG